UGGGGAAUAUUGCGCAAUGGACGAAAGUCUGACGCAGCGACGCCGCGUGUAGGAUGACGCCUUUCGGGGUGUAAACUACUGUUGCCCGGGACGAAACUCCUUUUUCGAAAGGACUGACGGUACCGGGUGAGGAAGCACCGGCUAACCCUGUGCCAGCAGCCGCGGUAAUACAGAGGGUGCGAGCGUUGUCCGGAAUCACUGGGCGUAAAGGGUGCGUAGGUGGCUUGGUAAGCGUGUGGUGAAAGUCCGGGGCUCAACCCCGGAUCUGCCGUGCGAACUGCUGAGCUCGAGCAAUGUAGAGGCAGGUGGAAUUUCGGGUGUAGCGGUGGAAUGCGUGGAGAUCCGAAAGAACACCAGUGGCGAAGGCGGCCUGCUGGGCAUUAGCUGACACUGAGGCACGACAGCGUGGGGAGCAAA
RNAcentral lists this ribosomal RNA (417 nucleotides) under uncultured bacterium. RNAcentral's name for it is "bacterial SSU rRNA". It matches the Rfam family "Bacterial small subunit ribosomal RNA", at positions 355 to 772 of the family's 1533-position model. The record is from RNAcentral.